GACGAACGCUGGCGGCGUGCUUAACACAUGCAAGUCGAACGGAAAGGCCCUGCUUUUGUGGGGUGCUCGAGUGGCGAACGGGUGAGUAACACGUGAGUAACCUGCCCUUGACUUUGGGAUAACUUCAGGAAACUGGGGCUAAUACCGGAUAGGAGCUCCUGCUGCAUGGUGGGGGUUGGAAAGUUUCGGCGGUUGGGGAUGGACUCCCGGCUUUCUAGCUUGUUGGUGGGGUAGUGGCUUACCAAGGCUUUGACGGGUUGCCGGGCUGAGAGGGUGACCGGCCAACAUGGGGCUGGAAUUCCGCCCAAGCUCCUACGGGGGGGAGGAGUGGGGGAUAAUGGACAAUGGGCGGGAGCCUGAAGGAGGAACGCCGGGUGCGGGAUGAAGGCCCUUGGGUUGGAAACCGCUUUCGCCUGUGACGAAGCGUGAGUGACGGUAAUGGGUAAAGAAGCACCGGCUAACUACGUG
RNAcentral lists this ribosomal RNA (468 nucleotides) under uncultured bacterium. RNAcentral's name for it is "partial 16S ribosomal RNA". It matches the Rfam family "Bacterial small subunit ribosomal RNA", at positions 28 to 507 of the family's 1533-position model. The record is from RNAcentral.